RNAcentral lists this ribosomal RNA (449 nucleotides) under uncultured bacterium. Its description in RNAcentral is "partial 16S ribosomal RNA". It matches the Rfam family "Bacterial small subunit ribosomal RNA", at positions 29 to 523 of the family's 1533-position model. The record is from RNAcentral.
AACGAACGCUGGCGGCAUGCCUAACACAUGCAAGUCGAACGAGACCUUCGGGUCUAGUGGCGCACGGGUGCGUAACGCGUGGGAAUCUGCCCUUCGGUUGGGAAUAACUGAGAGAAAUUUCAGCUAAUACCUUAUAAUGUCUUCGGACCAAAGAUUUAUCGCCGAGGGAUGAGCCCGCGUAGGAUUAGGUAGUUGGUGGGGUAAUGGCCUACCAAGCCGACGAUCCUUAGCUGGUCUGGGAGGAUGAUCAGCCACGCUGGGACUGAGACACGGCCCAGACUCCUACGGGAGGCAGCAGUGGGGAAUAUUGGACAAUGGGCGAAAGCCUGAUCCAGCAAUGCCGCGUGAGUGAUGAAGGCCUUAGGGUUGUAAAGCUCUUUUACCCGGGAUGAUAAUGACAGUACCGGGAGAAUAAGCUCCGGCUAACUCCGUGCCAGCAGCCGCCGUAA